GGUUGUGGCUUAGUGGUAGAGCGCUCGCCUCACAGGCGUGAGACCCUGGGUUCAAUCCUCAGCACCA
RNAcentral lists this transfer RNA (67 nucleotides) under Marmota marmota marmota (Alpine marmot). It matches the Rfam family "tRNA". Rfam says of the family: Transfer RNA (tRNA) molecules are approximately 80 nucleotides in length. Their secondary structure includes four short double-helical elements and three loops (D, anti-codon, and T loops). Further hydrogen bonds mediate the characteristic L-shaped molecular structure. tRNAs have two regions of fundamental functional importance: the anti-codon, which is responsible for specific mRNA codon recognition, and the 3' end, to which the tRNAs corresponding amino acid is attached (by aminoacyl-tRNA synthetases). tRNAs cope with the degeneracy of the genetic code in two manners: having more than one tRNA (with a specific anti-codon) for a particular amino acid; and 'wobble' base-pairing, i.e. permitting non-standard base-pairing at the 3rd anti-codon position. The record is from Rfam by way of RNAcentral. Lineage: Eukaryota; Metazoa; Chordata; Mammalia; Rodentia; Sciuridae. RNAcentral also lists the same sequence under 1 other name.